UAAACUCAAUUUAUGAAUUGCCUUUAUUGGAAUUGCAGGGGCAUCGGUAAUCCGAAUACUCUUCGUAUGCAUUUUUCACAAGAUUAAUUUUCUUUGUCUUGCAGAACCUAAAGUUUCCAUUCAAGCCAAUAUUCCUCUUGGCUUUUGGAGAUCCCUUGGGUUAUAUUUGGUUACUACUAGCAUUGGCCCUAUUGCUAAUAUUUGGGUUUUUGCUUCUCCUCAUUUUAUUUCUUCCUGGAAUUGUCAUACUCAGGAUCAAUGUGUCUCUAUUGAUUUUAUCUUCAGAAAUAUUAAUCAUAGGGUGACUUUUGUUUAUGCUAAGGCUUUAGCCUAUUCUUGUCGUCGUCUUUGGCAGAAUUUACGUGAGCUCUCAACUUCAGAGGAUUAUGUGACGGAGGUUUGGGUCACCAAUACUAUUAACCCUCAUCCGAUGAUUAAUUUACAAAUUAAGCAAAAGUCUCUCAGGAAAGGAAUUCAGUUUUAGAUCGUUACUUGCUGCAACAAGAGAUUCUUGCUAAAGAUAAAAGUCGUAUAAAAUGGCUCGAGGCUGGAGAUCGUAACACUUCUUUUUCCAUGGCAUUGCUAAUAAAAAACCUUCGCUUGCGGAUGCAGCUGUGAAUGACAAUUCUGGUCACGAUUCGCUUAUUCGAGAUUGCAUUCCUUCUAUUAUUUCUGAAGGUAAUAAUGACAUGCUUGUUGCUAUUCCAACAGAUGAGGAAAUUCGUUCUACUAUCUUCGGAAUGGAUUCUUCUAGUGCGCCAGGCCCUAACGGUUCACUGGUGUCUUCUUCAAAGAGUGUUGGGAUAUCAUUAAACCUGAUCUUAUCAAGGCUAUCCGCCAUUAUUUUUUUAUCGCGGGUGAGAUUGUUCCUGGCAUUAAUUCUAAUUUAAUGAUUCUCAUUCCUAAAAUUGAGCAUGCUAUUACUAUUGAUAAAUUUCGUCCAGUUGUUCUGUCUAACUUUAUUUAAUGAGUUUUUCAUUUGUCGAGUUGCUUAGGGGGUGCCAGCCUAGCUUAGCUGAUAUUUCUAGAUGCAUCUCCGACGAUUAACUUGCUCGAAUCUUAAAGAAAAAAAAAAAGAGAUUUGUAUCAUUCCAAGAUGAAGCUUCCUUCAUAAGAAUACACUGGGGCUUGGAUUAGAGAAGGAUUUAUAUGAUCCUAAGAAUCAGAAGCGGUCAACAUAAAUAAGACAUUUUUAUUAUAGCAGACAAGAAAUGUAAUUGUAAAAUAAAAAAUACCUUGGCUCAUUGUUUGAAGCAUAGUAAAAUUGAAAUCAAGAUUACAUAAGACUAAA
Molecule: long non-coding RNA, 1291 nt
Organism: Mercurialis annua (annual mercury)
Lineage: Eukaryota; Viridiplantae; Streptophyta; Magnoliopsida; Malpighiales; Euphorbiaceae
Exons: 3
Source: RefSeq, a predicted model, not a curated record